This 216-nucleotide ribosomal RNA is filed under the name Hemiselmis andersenii. Its description in RNAcentral is "partial Bacterial small subunit ribosomal RNA". It matches the Rfam family "Bacterial small subunit ribosomal RNA", at positions 556 to 772 of the family's 1533-position model. The record is from RNAcentral. Lineage: Eukaryota; Cryptophyceae; Cryptomonadales; Hemiselmidaceae.
GGGCGUAAAGCGAGCGCAGGCGGUUAGAUAAGUCUGAAGUUAAAGGCUGUGGCUUAACCAUAGUACGCUUUGGAAACUGUUUAACUUGAGUGCAGAAGGGGAGAGUGGAAUUCCAUGUGUAGCGGUGAAAUGCGUAGAUAUAUGGAGGAACACCGGUGGCGAAAGCGGCUCUCUGGUCUGUAACUGACGCUGAGGCUCGAAAGCGUGGGGAGCAAA